GAUGAACGCUAGCGGCAGGCCUAAUACAUGCAAGUCGAACGAGAUUAAGAGGCUUGCUUCUUAUGAACGUGGCGCACGGGUGCGUAACGCGUAUGCAACCUACCUUAAUCAGGGGGAUAGCCCGAAGAAAUUCGGAUUAAGACCGCAUAAAAACACAGGAUAGCAUUAUCCAAUGUUCAAAUAUUUCUGGGAUUAAGAUGGGCAUGCGUGUCAUUAGCUAGUUGGCGGGGUAACGGCCCACCAAGGCGACGAUGACUAGGGGAUCUGAGAGGAUGACCCCCCACAGUGGGACCGAGACCCGGACCAGACUCCUACGGGAGGCAGCAGUAAGGAAUAUUGGUCAAUGGAGUGAACUCUGAAGCAGCCAUGCCGCGUGCAGGAAGACAGCCCUCUGGGUCGUAAACUGCUUUUAUUCGGGAAUAAACCUUUCUACGUGUAGGAAGCUGAAUGUACCGAAGGAAUAAGGAUCGGCUAACUCCGUG
RNAcentral lists this ribosomal RNA (482 nucleotides) under uncultured bacterium. Its description in RNAcentral is "partial 16S ribosomal RNA". It matches the Rfam family "Bacterial small subunit ribosomal RNA", at positions 28 to 507 of the family's 1533-position model. The record is from RNAcentral.